This 484-nucleotide ribosomal RNA is filed under the name uncultured bacterium. Its description in RNAcentral is "partial 16S ribosomal RNA". It matches the Rfam family "Bacterial small subunit ribosomal RNA", at positions 30 to 507 of the family's 1533-position model. The record is from RNAcentral.
AUUGGACGCUGGCGGCAGGCCUAACACAUGCAAGUCGAACGGAUGAAGGGAGCUUGCUCCUGGAUUCAGCGGCGGACGGGUGAGUAAUGCCUAGGAAUCUGCCUGGUAGUGGGGGAUAACGUCCGGAAACGGGCGCUAAUACCGCAUACGUCCUGAGGGAGAAAGUGGGGGAUCUUCGGACCUCACGCUAUCAGAUGAGCCUAGGUCGGAUUAGCUAGUUGGUGGGGUAAAGGCCUACCAAGGCGACGAUCCGUAACUGGUCUGAGAGGAUGAUCAGUCACACUGGAACUGAGACACGGUCCAGACUCCUACGGGAGGCAGCAGUGGGGAAUAUUGGACAAUGGGCGAAAGCCUGAUGCAGCAAUGCCGCGUGUGUGAAGAAGGUCUUCGGAUUGUAAAGCACUUUAAGUUGGGAGGAAGGGCAGUAAGUUAAUACCUUGCUGUUUUGACGUUACCAACAGAAUAAGCACCGGCUAACUUCGUG